UAUUUGCUUUGCUUUGUUUUUUAUAUUUGCAGGUUGGCAAUUCCGAAGUUAUUGCCUUUCUACUUCAAACUGAAAUAAUUCCUCUUUGUCUUUAAUAUGGAGAUGGGCACUGAACUUUAAAAAACAGUAUGAACUCAACCCCUUCUGUAAAUCAAAUAUUUCAUUUGCGGGGACGACGUGGGGCUCAUGUCGAGCACUUCACCUGCAAUGGGUGUGGCCUUCUCCGUCUGCCAAACAUGCUACAAGUACGAGCACCAUGAGGGAACUGCCUGGAGUGCAAGACCCGCCACAAGAUCCUCAGGGGUCAGUCAGCCUCCACCCACGGCCGAAGGCACUUGCAGAUGUGAAGAAUAUCCAUGUCCGAUUACAUCGCCAGAAAGCAAAAACCGAGCCCACACUAAUCAUCAAGGGAUUUUUGAAACGAGCAGAAGAUUAGUAACUUCUACGACAUCAAAGAUCUGACCUUUUAGAGUAUGCACCAUAUUGAUUUACUUAUUGAUUUAUUCACACUAUAUCAGAUUUGUCUUGAACGUGAUACUUUAUUGACUGUACUGGACACGGGAAGUUAACUGUUUUAAUUAUAUAGGAUUAGUCUGCACCAGUUGCUGCAUAAGUUCUCAUUGAUAGCAAUUUACAUACUUGGGCUACUAGGCCUUUGGUCAGUUUGCAACUGGUAUUUUAGACAUGUACGAGUAUUCUCAUGGUAUUUCUAUAUGUUUUAAUUUGUACCAGAUGGAAUUUGCGAAUUAGUCUUACAAAGAGAAGAGAAAAGGAAACAUUAUUCACGAGUUUGCAGGAAUACGGAAACUCAAGGUAGUCUGUUAGCAUAAGUAAAAAAUGUUUUUCAUUUUAUUUCUUGGUUCGACCAAAUUAUAUUUUAUCCGAACGUAUGGAUGAUAGACACAAUGGACGUACGUAGUUUCUGGUUAGCACUACUCGGAUAACAUUUGGUCUUAUGCAUUUUAGUUAAAUAUAUCCUUUGUGAUGAAUAAUGAUUUUUGAGCAUACUAUCUUCUUUUCAUGUGGGGAGAUCCCUGAUAGAAAAGAAAAUUGUGUUUCUGAUAUGUUAUGCCUAUUUCUAAGUGCUUCCAAUUUCCAACUACUAGGUAUGCAGCCUUAGAUGAACAACUACCUCUUUAUUUGCUUGAGGAUGAUUUGAUUGUGCAAUUAAGACUACAUAAUUCCACUUUUCAUUUAUAUUUAUUGGUGAGGGCGAGCUGGCGGCGGCAUGGCACACUGGUCCGCAUGACCGCGGGUUCGGCCAGGGUGCGAGCCGAUCUGGCAUGUGCGCUGGCGAAGUAAGGCGUAGAGGUGCUCCGGCCGGCUGGGUGCCUUGGUCUGUGCCGGAGGUGCGAGGUGGGCGUGGAUCUGGCACCUAGCAUGCAUGAGGGAGGACAUAUGGGCGUUGUGCGUUUCUUCGCGGCGGGAGGUGUGACUGUGCUGCUCUGCAGAUUGAUGACGUUGUUCUCCUGGUUUCGUGGAUCUGCAGCGGGGUAGCCGGUGGUUGCGGCGCCAGAGAAUGCUGGGGCAGCGGCCUCGGGCUGAUGGCUGCUAUGGCAGGGGCUGCUGCACCGGCUCGGGAUGGUGAUUUGGAGCGAUGCACUCAGAUCUGACCCUGGCAACCGUGUUGUUUCUAUGUCGCAUGAGUUGUUGCAGCUGGUCGUCGCAUGAGGGCUAUGCCGGCUGACGGCAGGGGGGGUGCCCUAGACAAUGUGCUUGGCUCUGAUGGCCUGGGUAUCGUUGCGUGACCAGAUUUGCAAGCAAGCUCACCGAUAGGAGAUCAGGGACUCGGGCGAAAGCUCCGUGACCUUUUUGAGGCAUAGUCGUAGACAUCUUCCUAUCCUUUCACGUGCUUGGAUUCUCCGGGUGAGAACCUAAACUCCAGUUUUCUGGAGUGGGUGGCGGCGGUGUUUAUGUCGUAACCAUCUUCGGAGGCGUUGCCUUGGAGGGCCAGCCUUUGGAUGUCGUGUGGGGCUCUUUCGUUUUCAAGGGCGGUGUAUGUCGGUGCUGCGGCUCCGGGAUCUUCUAUUAAGUGUCGAGGCUGCGGCCUCGGGCAGUACUGCGACGACAGCUCCAAGAGGUAGGGCUGCUUGUCGGCAUGGCUUAGGUGAGGACCUUGAAGUGCGGGAGCAGCAAGGUUGUCAGCUCCGUCAAUGCGCCCCAGUUGGGACUGUUGGACGACAUGUUGGGGCAGCGGCCCAGGAUGUGGUGCAGCGUUCGUGGUCUAUGUGCGGUUGGCCUGAGCAGCGUGAGCUGCGGGUAGCUGUAUCGUUCGGCGUAGUGCCAGCCAGGUUGUCGCUCAUCCAGGUUGCCGACCGGGAAGAGGUGUAGUGCCGGCCAAGACGAGAACAAGGGGAAGCUGCUUGGUUGUCUGUGUUCAUCAAAGGUGCUCUCUCUUUUCCAUCUUUCUUUUUAUUUACUUAAUCCUAGAUGGGUGACUACUAAUUUCCAUGUCUACUGGGAGGAAGAAGGUUGGCGGACGUAUCUUUGUGACUAUGUCAUUCACGUGCUUUGUUUCAACUCAUAAAGUGGAUCCUUUUUAAGCUCUUUCAAAUCAUAAGACAUAAUUUUCAGUUGAUUUUUUUCUUCUAAUUCCCAGUUUAUUGCUUCACAUAGACUAUUACAUAUUUAUGCUAGCAAUUCGAAGCUUUGUCCCAAGGGCAAGCAUACUGUUGAAAAAAUAAAUACAUGUAUGACAGAUCAGCCAACAACUUGUUGAUCUGUGAUUCUUUGAACUUGAUGCUUAUAACUGUCUAUAAGUCAGUAUUGUUCAGAGCCAAAGAUAAGUAACAAUCUAUUUGGUUAAGUUGAACACUUCCAGAUCAGGAGUAGUAGAAAUUCUUAAGGGCGUUGGGAUAUUGAACUGCAGAUAGCUUCGGCAGGUUUGUUAGGCUAAUAUAAAGUAGGGACCUUUGCUACAUAAUGAUACAAAUAUGAUACUGAAGGUUGUUUUGCAACUAGCAAGGUAUUUUGUUUACAAGCUG
Molecule: non-coding RNA, 2984 nt
Organism: Triticum urartu
Lineage: Eukaryota; Viridiplantae; Streptophyta; Magnoliopsida; Poales; Poaceae
Source: RefSeq, a predicted model, not a curated record